UUUAAGUGUCCCAUGGCUUUAUAGAGAGUGGAUCAUACUCCUCAAACCAUGAGUGUAAAACAAGAUAGUACAUGUAAAAGCACCAUGGAGCUUCAGCUUUAUCAUUGCUGUGAGAUUUACAGCGCUUCCUUCCAUCGUCAGCUUGCUAAUAGGCAGUGGUUGAACUCCCUGGAGUCUCAGCUAGGAAAUAUGAGCAGUAUGUAAUUGCUAUGGCUGGAAUCGCAUUCCACUUCAGAAGCUUCUUAACAGCAUUCUCAGAUGUGUGAAUAUACAUUAGUGACCCAAGGGGAUUACUCCCUGGCACCAAGUUUACCUUUAUGAGGGGCCUGGAUGAUGAGACCUUCCCUCCCAUAAGCAGAAGUCUCUGGAAAGCCCAGCUCUCAAGUAGACAGCUACCUUGCCUGUAUGUCCACAGCAUCAGUGACUGCCAAGAUGUCCAAAGUUUCCUGAAAGGUGAAGAAAAUGCUUGAUUCUGGAGCACC
This is a non-coding RNA of Odocoileus virginianus texanus, 482 nucleotides long. Lineage: Eukaryota; Metazoa; Chordata; Mammalia; Artiodactyla; Cervidae. The record is from RefSeq and is a predicted model, not a curated record.